GUCUAUGGCCAUACCACCCUGAACGCGCCCGAUCUCGUCUGAUCUCAGAAGCUAAGCAGGGUCGGGCCUGGUUAUACUUGGAUGGGAGACCCUCUUUGCCUGGGUAUCACCAGCAGAGGCUGCAGAAC
Gorilla gorilla gorilla (western lowland gorilla) is the source of this 128-nucleotide ribosomal RNA. Lineage: Eukaryota; Metazoa; Chordata; Mammalia; Primates; Hominidae. The record is from Ensembl.